This 492-nucleotide ribosomal RNA is filed under the name uncultured bacterium. RNAcentral describes it as "partial 16S ribosomal RNA". It matches the Rfam family "Bacterial small subunit ribosomal RNA", at positions 29 to 507 of the family's 1533-position model. The record is from RNAcentral.
AGUGAACGCUGGCGGUAGGCCUAACACAUGCAAGUCGAACGGCAGCGCAGUAAGAGCUUGCUCUUACGGGUGGCGAGUGGCGGACGGGUGAGGAAUACAUCGGAAUCUACUUUUUCGUGGGGGAUAACGUAGGGAAACUUACGCUAAUGCCGCAUACGACCUACGGGUGAAAGCAGGGGAUCUUCGGACCUUGCGCGAUUGAAUGAGCCGAUGUCGGAUUAGCUAGUUGGCGGGGUAAAGGCCCACCAAGGCGACGAUCCGUAGCUGGUCUGAGAGGAUGAUCAGCCACACUGGAACUGAGACACGGUCCAGACCCCUACGGGAGGCAGCAGUGGGGAAUAUUGGACAAUGGGCGCAAGCCUGAUCCAGCCAUACCGCGUGGGUGAAGAAGGCCUUCGGGUUGUAAAGCCCUUUUGUUGGGAAAGAAAAGCAGCAGGUUAAUACCCCGCUGUUCUGACGGUACCCAAAGAAUAAGCACCGGCUAACUUCGUG